GACGAACGCUGGCGGCGUGCCUAACACAUGCAAGUCGAACGAAGCAUAGCAAUAUGCUUAGUGGCGGACGGGUGAGUAACGCGUGAACAAUCUGCCCUGUACAAAGGAAUAGCCUCGGGAAACCGGGAUUAAAACCGUAUGACACUUUAGUAUCGCAUGAUAAGAAAGUCAAAUCGAUUAGAGGUAUGGGAUGAGUUCGCGUCUGAUUAGCUGGUUGGCGGGGUAACGGCCCACCAAGGCGACGAUCAGUAGCCGGCCUGAGAGGGUGAACGGCCACACUGGAACUGAGACACGGUCCAGACUCCUACGGGAGGCAGCAGUGGGGAAUAUUGCACAAUGGAGGGAACUCUGAUGCAGCGACGCCGCGUGAGUGAAGAAGGUCUUCGGAUCGUAAAACUCUGUCCUUGGUGAAGAAAAGGACGGUAGCCAAGGAGGAAGCCCCGGCUAACUACGUGCCAGCAGCCGCGGUAAGACGUAGCGUG
Molecule: ribosomal RNA, 482 nt
Filed under: uncultured bacterium
Lineage: Bacteria
Description: bacterial SSU rRNA
Rfam family: Bacterial small subunit ribosomal RNA
Source: RNAcentral